Molecule: transfer RNA, 75 nt
Filed under: Planctomycetota bacterium
Lineage: Bacteria; Pseudomonadati; Planctomycetota
Description: tRNA-Cys
Rfam family: tRNA
About the family: Transfer RNA (tRNA) molecules are approximately 80 nucleotides in length. Their secondary structure includes four short double-helical elements and three loops (D, anti-codon, and T loops).
Source: RNAcentral
GGUGGCGUAGCCAAGUGGUUAGGCAACGGUUUGCAAAACCGUCACACGCGGGUUCGAAUCCCACCGCCACCUCCA